This 253-nucleotide ribosomal RNA is filed under the name uncultured bacterium. RNAcentral describes it as "partial 16S ribosomal RNA". It matches the Rfam family "Bacterial small subunit ribosomal RNA", at positions 524 to 776 of the family's 1533-position model. The record is from RNAcentral.
GACGUAGGGGGCCAGCGUUGUUCGGAAUUACUGGGUGUAAAGGGUUCGUAGGCGGUGUGGCAAGUCGGGAGUGAAAUCUCUGGGCUCAACCCAGAGUCUGCUUCCGAAACUGCUGUGCUUGAGUGUGGGAGAGGCGCGUGGAAUUGCAGGUGUAGCGGUGAAAUGCGUAGAUAUCAGGAGGAACACCGGUGGCGAAGGCGGAUCUCUGGGCCGUAACUGACGCUGAGGAGCGAAAGCAUGGGGAGCGAACAGG